UGCUCUGCUGUGGGUUCUCUACAACUUAGAGCACCAGGCAAUGGCUCGGAGGCCUCCACUGCCGCCAGGAGUCGGAGAGCCGGAAGGGUGUCCGCUGAACGCUGGAAACUGCUCCAAUGCCCACGAACAGUGAAAUGAAUACAGGGGUCCCUUCCUACUUACUGGGCUGGAUGGAAAAGAAUGAAUGGCUGAUGUGCAGAACAGCGUGGAGGAAUCUCAGAAACACUUGGAUUGAGUGAAAGAAGCCAGGCCGAGAAAAGUGUGCAGAAAAAUGCGCACCGCGCCCGGUGGAGUGGCAGGUGGCUGCUGGCCUCUGGGCGCCGACCAGUCCUGCGUCCGUUCAGCGAGCGCACCCCAGCGUCCCUGGCAGCUCUGCAUCCGCUCUUGAUCGUCCUUCCAACUGGUUGCAACGAUUGUAAUGUGCCGGUUCCCUCGUUCGUUAAUGAGUUAAAUAAAAUCUCUGACACGUGUUCAUUUUA
Phyllostomus hastatus (greater spear-nosed bat) is the source of this 479-nucleotide long non-coding RNA. RefSeq lists it as uncharacterized. The record is from RefSeq and is a predicted model, not a curated record. NCBI's taxonomy places the organism in Eukaryota, Metazoa, Chordata, Mammalia, Chiroptera, Phyllostomidae. The transcript has 3 exons.